Molecule: ribosomal RNA, 1134 nt
Filed under: Klebsiella quasipneumoniae
Lineage: Bacteria; Pseudomonadati; Pseudomonadota; Gammaproteobacteria; Enterobacterales; Enterobacteriaceae
Description: bacterial SSU rRNA
Rfam family: Bacterial small subunit ribosomal RNA
Source: RNAcentral
AAAUUGAAGAGUUUGAUCAUGGCUCAGAUUGAACGCUGGCGGCAGGCCUAACACAUGCAAGUCGAGCGGUAGCACAGAGAGCUUGCUCUCGGGUGACGAGCGGCGGACGGGUGAGUAAUGUCUGGGAAACUGCCUGAUGGAGGGGGAUAACUACUGGAAACGGUAGCUAAUACCGCAUAACGUCGCAAGACCAAAGUGGGGGACCUUCGGGCCUCAUGCCAUCAGAUGUGCCCAGAUGGGAUUAGCUAGUAGGUGGGGUAACGGCUCACCUAGGCGACGAUCCCUAGCUGGUCUGAGAGGAUGACCAGCCACACUGGAACUGAGACACGGUCCAGACUCCUACGGGAGGCAGCAGUGGGGAAUAUUGCACAAUGGGCGCAAGCCUGAUGCAGCCAUGCCGCGUGUAUGAAGAAGGCCUUCGGGUUGUAAAGUACUUUCAGCGGGGAGGAAGGCGAUAAGGUUAAUAACCUUGUCGAUUGACGUUACCCGCAGAAGAAGCACCGGCUAACUCCGUGCCAGCAGCCGCGGUAAUACGGAGGGUGCAAGCGUUAAUCGGAAUUACUGGGCGUAAAGCGCACGCAGGCGGUCUGUCAAGUCGGAUGUGAAAUCCCCGGGCUCAACCUGGGAACUGCAUUCGAAACUGGCAGGCUAGAGUCUUGUAGAGGGGGGUAGAAUUCCAGGUGUAGCGGUGAAAUGCGUAGAGAUCUGGAGGAAUACCGGUGGCGAAGGCGGCCCCCUGGACAAAGACUGACGCUCAGGUGCGAAAGCGUGGGGAGCAAACAGGAUUAGAUACCCUGGUAGUCCACGCCGUAAACGAUGUCGAUUUGGAGGUUGUGCCCUUGAGGCGUGGCUUCCGGAGCUAACGCGUUAAAUCGACCGCCUGGGGAGUACGGCCGCAAGGUUAAAACUCAAAUGAAUUGACGGGGGCCCGCACAAGCGGUGGAGCAUGUGGUUUAAUUCGAUGCAACGCGAAGAACCUUACCUGGUCUUGACAUCCACAGAACUUGCCAGAGAUGGCUUGGUGCCUUCGGGAACUGUGAGACAGGUGCUGCAUGGCUGUCGUCAGCUCGUGUUGUGAAAUGUUGGGUUAAGUCCCGCAACGAGCGCAACCCUUAUCCUUUGUUGCCAGCGGUU